This 437-nucleotide ribosomal RNA is filed under the name Neogloboquadrina incompta. RNAcentral's name for it is "bacterial SSU rRNA". It matches the Rfam family "Eukaryotic small subunit ribosomal RNA", at positions 1227 to 1459 of the family's 1831-position model. Lineage: Eukaryota; Foraminifera; Rotaliida; Globorotaliidae. The record is from RNAcentral.
CUUUUGAAUUCUUUAAGGAUAUGUCGUUUUUAAUGACAUCUUUUAGAUGGAUGAUUCGUGUAAAUAUGCUAGUUCUUUCAUGAUUAUGUGAUAGGUGGUGCAUGGCCGUUCUUAGUUCGUGGAGUGAUCUGUCUGCUUAAUUGCGUUUCACUAAGGCCCCAAAGUUAGCAAAUUAUCAAUCGUUACAGAGUCGACCCCUCACCUUUGAGUGCGCGUCCUAACUUGUAGUACAUGGUGUAAAUGGAUUUGUUUUGGGUACCCAGAAAGCAACGAACGUGACCGCAACGUCUUGUUGUCUCUCUUUGACAGUUAUGGGUUAUCCCAGUCAUGUGUUUAUACUUUUAUGUGUAAAUACGUACGACACAGAGACUAGAUACCAAACUAGGCGUACCGCUGUAUCAUUUCUUUAAACCAGAGGAAGGUUGCGGCAAUAACAG